UUUGACACAAAAAAACUCCAACUUAGAUAUCUUAUAACGAGUAUUUAGCUCCAUCAAAUCAGUGGCAGUAUGGUGAAAGCUUCAAUUCAAUUGGCUCUCUUUGCGGUCUUGUUCCUUUUUGCCAUUGGUAUUCCUCCUUCCUUCCUAUUUGUUUUAUAAUCUGUUUAAAAUUCAUAGGUUUUCUUCAUGGUAAAUGAAGAAUAUCUCCAUUGUUAGGAAAAUUUCAACAUAUAUAAAAGUAAACAAAUACAUAUAAGUAUAACUUCCGAACAAAUUUAAUAUAUUUUAUGUUAGAAUAAAAUGUCUCCUCAUGUUAGGAGAUAUAAAUUAUCUUAUUCGGCUAUUAAAAUUAUGAUUUUAAUAUAUGACAUAUAUUAUGAUUUUAGUGGCUGAAGAAAAUAAUUUAUUUCCUGAUAUGAUGAGAUAAUUUAUUAUUAAAUUUAACUUAGAGAAAAUGUAUUGUGAAUAAAGAAUAUAAUUUUUAAGUUCUUUAUGUUUUAUUAUUUUCAGGUUUGGAAGUGCAAGCACUUGAAACUUCUUUCCCUUGCAAUGGAAAUGAAAUAUGUCUUGAGCAAUGUGUGAAAUUAUGCAAAAGGGUCAGACUAUGGGAAUGUAAAUCAGGACUUUGCAUUUGUGAAUGUUAUCCUCCAAUGUAACAAUGUAGCCA
This 667-nucleotide long non-coding RNA is filed under the name Lupinus angustifolius (narrow-leaved blue lupine). RNAcentral describes it as "long non-coding RNA (LANG_LNC002212)". The record is from RNAcentral. Lineage: Eukaryota; Viridiplantae; Streptophyta; Magnoliopsida; Fabales; Fabaceae.